AUGGCCAUCAUCCUGGUCCAGGAGCAAGAUCUUCCAAAGACUAGCAGCACACUGGGGUGGUAUGACAUUCUUCAACUUAGAGUCCAUCAGAAGAAAAACAGAAGGAGCAAAUCGUUAGCAGUUCCAUCUAAGGGAUAUUUGGUCUGGAGGAUGAGGGCUCAGAGGAUAAAACAACAUCUGAGAAGUGCGCAGGGACAUGAAUAUCUCCCUCAUGGAGACCUUAGUGCUAUGCUGGGCUGUUGCUUGUCCGCAGCAUUUCUUCAGUGUGUAAGAUGCCUGAGAAGAGGCGUCUGGAAGAGAAGGGUUUCUGAAUAAAAAUGGGUCACAGAUUUAGUGGAAGAUCA
This 344-nucleotide long non-coding RNA is filed under the name Anser brachyrhynchus (Pink-footed goose). RNAcentral describes it as "lncRNA (ENSABRG00000003297.1)". Lineage: Eukaryota; Metazoa; Chordata; Aves; Anseriformes; Anatidae. The record is from RNAcentral.